ACAAGGUAGUAAAAAAUUAAAAUGCUCUUUAGUUAAACCCCACAAGAGAAGGGUAUAGUCCCAAGUUAAGCAGUAAUCAUAUAAAACUGGCUCAACACUGGGUUUUAGGCUCUACUGAUGUUACAGUUUGUUUAUGUAGCAUCCCAUUUUUAUGCAAUUUUGUGAAUUAUAUACAGUACUAGUUAAUUAAGUUUCUUGUUAGCCAUCUUUUUUCUGUUGUUACUGUUGCCGUGUUUAAAAAUAGAGCAAAGGUUAAGAAAAGGUCAUCCCUCAUUAAGCCCCCUUUAAUUAGUAAUCCAUUCUCUACUGUAGGAAUUCUUUUGCAGGUAAGCAUGUGUUAGUGAAUGUGAUACACUGAGCCUGAAACAGAAUUAACCGUUUCUCUUUCUUUUUAAAUUGUUGAAACAUUUUCUUAACUUUAUUCAGAAGCAGAAUAAAAGAACACCCCUCUCCCUUUAAGAUUAUUUAUGAAGAAGAAAAUAUCAGCAUUUCACACUGAAAAGAUCUUACAGACUUUGUUGAUUUUUUUUUUCUUUUUCUUUACUCCUUACCUGGGUCUUCUGUCUUCUUCUAAGAUUAGCCAGAUAGUUUGCUGAAGAAAAGGAUUGGUGUGGUUUCACAGAAGCUCUGACAUACUGUGACCUAACCCCUUCCACCAAAUGACCCAGAACACUGGGGCCUAUCUUAUCAAAGGAGGAAAACCGGUAGAAUUUGGUAUAUGGUCCAGGGCACUAAGUCAAUAACUGGGACAAGGUUUUCAAAGUAAAAUAAGCAGUCUGUAAACCUGAUUAUGGAGUUGAUUGGCCUCAGAAAGGAAGCUGGACCACUUUGUCCUCUCCCCUUCAUCCCCAAUGGGUCAUGGUUUAACUCCUUGUAGGCCAUCACUUACCUAUAAGAUGAUCCUUUUGUACCAAGAUGGGUAAAAUAUAUUUAUUGACUAAAGUCACAAGCAUUCUAAACAUUCUCUGUACCCCUUAAAUGUUUGAAUCACUUUGAUAUAAUUGGAUCAAAAGUUAUAAUUGACUAGCGAAUUGCCCAUCAAGAAUGA
Long non-coding RNA from Gavialis gangeticus (Gharial), 1048 nucleotides. RefSeq lists it as uncharacterized. NCBI's taxonomy places the organism in Eukaryota, Metazoa, Chordata, Crocodylia, Gavialidae. The record is from RefSeq and is a predicted model, not a curated record. The transcript is spliced from 5 exons.